GGUUCCUUAGCCAAAAGGGCCACUGAAAUGAAAUUAUAACUGUGAACAGUUGAAGGAGGCUUUAUUAGAUAAAAACUAGGGCUCACGUGGAACAAACUUCAUCUGUUUGGAAAGAACCCUUAAGGAUUUCCUUUUGCUGUCCUCACUCUGUUACUUUCAAGCUUAUAAUCGCCUUUUUUAUUCAUUUGAUUAAGGAUAUUUUAGCCAUUUUCAUUUCCAUCCAUUAUAUAUUUAUAUUAUAUAUUUUCUUGGUGCAAUGAAGGAAAAUGCGGUUAUCGUUUGUGUGUUGUAAACAAGUGGGUCAGAGGUCAAAAUUAUCUUACCUAGUCAUUCUAUGCUUUCAGGCGUAGUGGGAUAUAUUGCAAAUACCAUAAGUCGAAAACAUCCAAUAAAUAUUCAGUGGUGCGUUCUGAACUCAAGGGAGGGAACUUGAGAACAGCCUUCAGAGAUCCCCUAAAGUCGGAAGGGAUUUACUUGGUGGAUCCUCUUGCUGACAAAACAAACUUUAAAAAGUCCAAGCAACCAGUGAAGCUAUUGUCUGUGGAGGGAUUGAAAAAGGCCUUAAGUAAUGCAGGUAAAGUGACAACUAAUACCCACUCACAAGGAAUAAGAUUCCUCGCAGAAGUGACAGGCAAAAUGCACCCGAAAAAUUCAAGUAAUGAGUCUGCAGUGCCAAAUCAUCUAAAAAGUUGUGCCGAGAAAAGGUUAUCAUCAUCUGCAAAGUUGGCUCCAACUAUCGUUGUAAAGAAUCAACAACCAGAGACAAAGAGAAAGAAAACAGAGCAGGCUUCAGAAAAGAUGAUUGAAUUGGAUAUUAUUAGUUCAGAAGAAGAUUGAGAGGCACCUGUUCUUAUCGACUACUGAUAAUUGUGCCAAAUUCAUUCCUGCAUGCAUCCUUUGGUGGCUUGUCCUUUGUUGGGCAACAUUUCUCCAAUUGAAUUCAAAGGGCAGGAAACCAAUACUAGUGCCUCAUCAUUGGUUUAAUUUCCAAGGAAUUGAACUUUGUUCUGACUCAAGUGGUUUUCUUCUCAGACACCUGAAUUUUCCUUGGUGGGAGAGAUUUGCCUUCACUAUUUUUUUGACCUUGUUCUGGACAGUUAGCAUAGGAUUCUCUGACUAAACUUUGUUACUGUUGGGGAAAUCUCUCUAUUGAAGUGCUUAUUAUAAC
Telopea speciosissima is the source of this 1168-nucleotide long non-coding RNA. RefSeq lists it as uncharacterized. The record is from RefSeq and is a predicted model, not a curated record. NCBI's taxonomy places the organism in Eukaryota, Viridiplantae, Streptophyta, Magnoliopsida, Proteales, Proteaceae. The transcript has 6 exons.